RNAcentral lists this ribosomal RNA (253 nucleotides) under uncultured bacterium. RNAcentral describes it as "partial 16S ribosomal RNA". It matches the Rfam family "Bacterial small subunit ribosomal RNA", at positions 524 to 776 of the family's 1533-position model. The record is from RNAcentral.
UACGAAGGGGGCUAGCGUUGCUCGGAAUCACUGGGCGUAAAGCGCACGUAGGCGGCUUCUUAAGUCAGGGGUGAAAUCCUGGAGCUCGACUCCAGAACUGCCUUUGAUACUGAGAAGCUUGAGUCCGGGAGAGGUGAGUGGAACUGCGAGUGUAGAGGUGAAAUUCGUAGAUAUUCGCAAGAACACCAGUGGCGAAGGCGGCUCACUGGCCCGGUACUGACGCUGAGGUGCGAAAGCGUGGGGAGCAAACAGG